This 439-nucleotide ribosomal RNA is filed under the name uncultured bacterium. RNAcentral's name for it is "partial 16S ribosomal RNA". It matches the Rfam family "Bacterial small subunit ribosomal RNA", at positions 338 to 795 of the family's 1533-position model. The record is from RNAcentral.
CCUACGGGAGGCAGCAGUGAGGAAUAUUGCACAAUGGGCGAAAGCCUGAUGCAGCGACGCCGCGUGAGCGAUGAAGGCCUUGGGGUUGUAAAGCUCUGUCCUCAAGGAAGAUAAUGACGGUACUUGAGGAGGAAGCCCCGGCUAACUACGUGCCAGCAGCCGCGGUAAUACGUAGGGGGCUAGCGUUAUCCGGACUUACUGGGCGUAAAGGGUGCGUAGGUGGUUACUUAAGUCCGAGGUAAAAGGCUACGGCUCAACUGUGGUAAGCCUUUGAAACUUGGGAACUUGAGUUCAGGAGAGGACAGUGGAAUUCCUAGGGUAGCGGUGAAAUGCGUAGAUAUUAGGAGGAACACCAGUUGCGAAGGCGGCUCUCUGGACUGUAACUGACACUGAGGCACGAAAGCGUGGGGAGCAAACAGGAUUAGAUACCCCAGUAGUC